RNAcentral lists this ribosomal RNA (242 nucleotides) under uncultured prokaryote. RNAcentral describes it as "partial 16S ribosomal RNA". The record is from RNAcentral.
UGGUCGUAUGGUUCUUGCUGCCGAGGGUCGCAAGGCUAAUGAUUCACACGCCGACUGCUAUCAGUAUUUUUGUGUGCCUGAGUAUGGUACAGCUAAUGGCCGUCUUCAUUUCCAUGCGGUGCACUUUAUGCGGACACUUCCUACAGGUAGCGUUGACCCUAAUUUUGGUCGUCGGGUACGCAAUCGCCGCCAGUUAAAUAGCUUGCAAAAUACGUGGCCUUAUGGUUACAGUAUGCCCAUCG